ACGACUCUCGGCAACGGAUAUCUCGGCUCACGCAUCGAUGAAGAACGUAGCAAAAUGCGAUACUUGGUGUGAAUUGCAGAAUCCCGUGAACCAUCGAGUUUUUGAACGCAAGUUGCGCCCGAAGCCAUUCGGCUGAGGGCACGUCUGCCUGGGCGUCACGC
Molecule: ribosomal RNA, 161 nt
Filed under: Centaurea tchihatcheffii
Lineage: Eukaryota; Viridiplantae; Streptophyta; Magnoliopsida; Asterales; Asteraceae
Description: 5.8S ribosomal RNA
Rfam family: 5.8S ribosomal RNA
About the family: 5.8S ribosomal RNA (5.8S rRNA) is a component of the large subunit of the eukaryotic ribosome. It is transcribed by RNA polymerase I as part of the 45S precursor that also contains 18S and 28S rRNA. Functionally, it is thought that 5.8S rRNA may be involved in ribosome translocation.
Source: RNAcentral